This is a small RNA of Enterobacter sp. 638, 284 nucleotides long. It matches the Rfam family "5' ureB small RNA". The record is from Rfam. NCBI's taxonomy places the organism in Bacteria, Pseudomonadati, Pseudomonadota, Gammaproteobacteria, Enterobacterales, Enterobacteriaceae.
UUCUUCCGCCUGCUGCGGGCAGAUCCAGUGGAUGUGCGUGUCGAUCCCACCUGCGGUGACGAUCUUACCUUCGGCGGCGAUCACUUCGGUUGCGGCACCAAUCGGGAUCGUCACGCCGGGCUGAAUAUCCGGAUUACCGGCUUUACCCACGGCGAAGAUCCUGCCGUCUUUGACGCCGAUAUCCGCCUUCACGAUCCCCCAGUGAUCGACGAUCAGCGCGUUGGUCAACACCAGAUCCACACAGUCCUGCGCCGUCAUUUGCCCCUGGCCCAUGCCGUCGCGAA